AGCCAUGAUGUGGGAAAGAGUUCAAAAUAUCCUUGAAUCUUUCCUAGCAUUGAUAGAAGGUCUCUUCUACUUUCUGAGAAUAAUUCAUUAUUUCUCUCCUUAGGGU
Magnolia sinica is the source of this 106-nucleotide small nucleolar RNA. The record is from RefSeq and is a predicted model, not a curated record. Lineage: Eukaryota; Viridiplantae; Streptophyta; Magnoliopsida; Magnoliales; Magnoliaceae.